AGUUAAGGUGCCCAAGUGUACGCUCAUGAGAUACCACAAAAGGUGUUGAUUCAUCUAGACAGCAGGACGGUGGACAUAAAAGUCGUCAUCCGCUAAGGAGUGUGUUACAACUCACCUGCCGAAUGAAUUAGCC
RNAcentral lists this ribosomal RNA (133 nucleotides) under Stutzerimonas marianensis. RNAcentral's name for it is "partial 23S ribosomal RNA". It matches the Rfam family "Eukaryotic large subunit ribosomal RNA", at positions 1179 to 1311 of the family's 3401-position model. The record is from RNAcentral. Lineage: Bacteria; Pseudomonadati; Pseudomonadota; Gammaproteobacteria; Pseudomonadales; Pseudomonadaceae.